This 497-nucleotide ribosomal RNA is filed under the name uncultured bacterium. RNAcentral's name for it is "partial 16S ribosomal RNA". It matches the Rfam family "Bacterial small subunit ribosomal RNA", at positions 28 to 507 of the family's 1533-position model. The record is from RNAcentral.
GACGAACGCUGGCGGCGUGCCUAAUACAUGCAAGUUGAGCGCUGAAGGUUGGUACUUGUACCAACUGGAUGAGCAGCGAACGGGUGAGUAACGCGUGGGGAAUCUGCCUUUGAGCGGGGGACAACAUUUGGAAACGAAUGCUAAUACCGCAUAAAAACUUUAAACACAAGUUUUAAGUUUGAAAGAUGCAAUUACAUCACUCAAAGAUGAUCCCGCGUUGUAUUAGCUAGUUGGUGAGGUAAAGGCUCACCAAGGCGAUGAUACAUAGCCGACCUGAGAGGGUGAUCGGCCACAUUGGGACUGAGACACGGCCCAAACUCCUACGGGAGGCAGCAGUAGGGAAUCUUCGGCAAUGGACGAAAGUCUGACCGAGCAACGCCGCGUGAGUGAAGAAGGUUUUCGGAUCGUAAAACUCUGUUGGUAGAGAAGAACGUUGGUGAGAGUGGAAAGCUCAUCAAGUGACGGUAACUACCCAGAAGGGGACGGCUAACUACGUG